RNAcentral lists this ribosomal RNA (465 nucleotides) under Vreelandella stevensii. RNAcentral's name for it is "partial 16S ribosomal RNA". It matches the Rfam family "Bacterial small subunit ribosomal RNA", at positions 338 to 795 of the family's 1533-position model. Lineage: Bacteria; Pseudomonadati; Pseudomonadota; Gammaproteobacteria; Oceanospirillales; Halomonadaceae. The record is from RNAcentral.
CCUACGGGUGGCAGCAGUGGGGAAUAUUGGACAAUGGGCGAAAGCCUGAUCCAGCCAUGCCGCGUGUGUGAAGAAGGCCUUCGGGUUGUAAAGCACUUUCAGUGGGGAAGAAAGCCUUGGGGCUAAUACCCUCGAGGAAGGACAUCACCCACAGAAGAAGCACCGGCUAACUCCGUGCCAGCAGCCGCGGUAAUACGGAGGGUGCGAGCGUUAAUCGGAAUUACUGGGCGUAAAGCGCGCGUAGGCGGUCUGAUAAGCCGGUUGUGAAAGCCCCGGGCUCAACCUGGGAACGGCAUCCGGAACUGUCAGGCUAGAGUGCAGGAGAGGAAGGUAGAAUUCCCGGUGUAGCGGUGAAAUGCGUAGAGAUCGGGAGGAAUACCAGUGGCGAAGGCGCCCUUCUGGACUGACACUGACGCUGAGGUGCGAAAGCGUGGGUAGCAAACAGGAUUAGAUACCCCAGUAGUC